AUGCCUUGGCAACCUUUUCUAUACAGAUCCAACUCUGGAGCCUGGCAUCGACAGCAGACAAAACAUCCCAGAAAGCACUUUAGAAAGAUGAAAACACUGCUCGUCAGUUUCUUUCUCCUUUGCCUCACAGUUUCUUGUGCCAGCAUAUUAAUUUCACAGACACCCUCACUCAUCAAGAAACCUGGAAAAAGUGCAAAAUUUGACUGCAGCCACGACCAAAGCAGCUACUUAUACCUCUAUUGGUACCAAAAAGUAUCAGAAGACAAAGCAAUGCAGCUCAUUGGGUACCUCUACAACACCCAGGAUAACCCAGAGAAGGAGUUCAGUGAGCACUUUAAACUCAGCGGAGAUGCAAAAAGCCAGGGGCACUUGCAGAUCUCCAACUUAAAGGCAGCAGACACUGGGGUGUAUUUCUGCGCUGUGAGCCAACACAGUGCUGCAGAUCCCCUGUCUCCUCAACAAAAACCACCCUUUCUCCUCCAUCACUUUUUGCUGUGGAGCUACUGCUCCUCAAGCAUGUGCCAAAUUUACCGCUAAUUCGGUGUACUCUACCAUCUAAGUGACAUGACUGGUUUGCAUUCAAGUUUUGUGUCAUUGGUAAACAAACAAAUCUAGGAAGAAAUAUCUCAAUUCAUCCUCUGUCCACAUUACAGUUCCGCAAACCUCUUAUUAUGUUACAGUUUUGCAUUUCAUUUCUUUAUUUGUGUUUUUUUUUUCUCAGGUAACUCUGUGAUGGUCCUUAUAUCUCAAUGGCCUAGAUACAUAUCUGCUCGUCCAGAUGAAUCUGCAGAAAUGAACUGUUAUCAGAAUGAGACAGACUACCAGUACAUGUACUGGUACCAGCAACGGAGAGGAGAAGGUCCAAAAAUGAUGGCAUCCUUCAUGGCUGGUUCUCCGACCUUUGAGGAAGGCUUUAAGUCUGGCUAUGUGGUGUCGAGCUCAGAGGCUAAGCAGUGGUCCCUGAAAGUAGAGAGUGUGAAAGAGCAAGACGAUGCAGUGUUUCUAUGCGCUGCCAGUGUACACAGUGACACACGGAGUAUCGCUCCAACGACAAAAAAGCCUGGGCAGAGAGCCAGUUCUAUUUCCUCCUGAGGUCCCUCUAAAGAUUUCACACCACUUCUUUGCAUGCUUUUAAUGACCUGUUUGCUUUCUAUGCUUAUUUUAUUUUCCAGCAGUACAAAUCAGCACUGGGAAGAUGUCUAUUAAUUUCAUGAAUCCUUUGGCCAAUGUACAGUACAUUACAGCACAGUAUCAGGAAACUAGAAUGAAAGCCAAAUAUGACAUCCUUACUCAUCGCUACUACAUUUUCCCAGUUUCCAAAGAAUGUAACAAAGAAGUCACUGAGAGAGAACCUUUCUGAACACAGGACACUUUGAUGUGCAUGUUUUGUAUUUCACACACACACAUACAUUGACAGAAGCCACUUGUCCCAAGCGGGGUCGCGGCAAACCGGAGCCUAGCCUGACAGGCCAGUCCACACCCAGGAUGGGAUGCCAACAAAUUCCCACAGAAAAAUUCAGAGACAAGCGAAGAAAAUCCAAGUAAAAUAAAAAAGUAAAAAGAAAAUUUUUUCUGUAGGGG
This is a long non-coding RNA of Scleropages formosus (Asian bonytongue), 1581 nucleotides long. The record is from Ensembl. NCBI's taxonomy places the organism in Eukaryota, Metazoa, Chordata, Actinopteri, Osteoglossiformes, Osteoglossidae.